UACGGGGGGUGCAAGCGUUAUCCGGAUUUACUGGGGUUAAAGGGUGCGUAGGCGGACCAUGUAAGUCAGGGGUGAAAUCCCGGGGCUCAACCCCGGAACUGCCUUUGAUACUACUGGUCUUGAAUGUUGUUGAGGUGGGCGGAACGGGUCAUGUAGCGGUGAAAUGCAUAGAUAUGACCCGGAACACCGAUUGCGAAGGCAGCCCGCUAAGCAACCAUUGACGCUGAGGCACGAAAGCGUGGGGAUCAAACAGG
Molecule: ribosomal RNA, 254 nt
Filed under: uncultured bacterium
Lineage: Bacteria
Description: partial 16S ribosomal RNA
Rfam family: Bacterial small subunit ribosomal RNA
Source: RNAcentral